RNAcentral lists this unclassified non-coding RNA (158 nucleotides) under uncultured Xenochalara. RNAcentral describes it as "sequence contains ITS1". Lineage: Eukaryota; Fungi; Ascomycota. The record is from RNAcentral.
CAGAGAAUAUCGCCCUCACGGGUGACUCUCCAACCCUAUGUUAUUAUACCCUUGUUGCUUUGGCGAGCCGCCUCGGCCACCGGCUCACGCUGGUGAGUGCUCGCCAGAGGACCCCAAACUCUGAAUGUUAGUGUCGUCUGAGUACUAUAUAAUAGUUA